Molecule: transfer RNA, 73 nt
Filed under: Paramuricea clavata
Lineage: Eukaryota; Metazoa; Cnidaria; Anthozoa; Malacalcyonacea; Plexauridae
Rfam family: tRNA
About the family: Transfer RNA (tRNA) molecules are approximately 80 nucleotides in length. Their secondary structure includes four short double-helical elements and three loops (D, anti-codon, and T loops).
Source: Rfam by way of RNAcentral
GACCGCGUAGCUCAGUUGGAAGAGCAUUGGGCUAGUAUUCCAAAGGUCGUAGGUUCGAAUCCCACCGUGGGCG